AUCACGGUUCUCGUACGAUCACCGAAGUUAAGCAACGUCGAGCCUGGUCAGUACCUAGAUGGGUGAGCGCCUGGGAAUACCAG
Molecule: non-coding RNA, 83 nt
Organism: Acanthosepion pharaonis
Lineage: Eukaryota; Metazoa; Mollusca; Cephalopoda; Sepiida; Sepiidae
Source: the annotation of a GenBank genome assembly